AACGAACGCUGGCGGCAUGCCUAACACAUGCAAGUCGAACGAGACCUUCGGGUCUAGUGGCGCACGGGUGCGUAACGCGUGGGAACCUGCCCUUAGGUUCGGAAUAACUCCCCGAAAGGGGUGCUAAUACCGGUUAAUGUCUUCGGACCAAAGAUUUAUCGCCUUUGGAUGGGCCCGCGUUGGAUUAGCUAGUUGGUAGGGUAAAAGCCUACCAAGGCGACGAUCCAUAGCUGGUCUGAGAGGAUGAUCAGCCACACUGGGACUGAGACACGGCCCAGACUCCUACGGGAGGCAGCAGUGGGGAAUAUUGGACGAUGGGCGAAAGCCUGAUCCAGCAAUGCCGCGUGAGUGAUGAAGGCCUUAGGGUUGUAAAGCUCUUUUACCCGGGAUGAUAAUGACAGUACCGGGAGAAUAAGCUCCGGCUAACUCCGUG
This 433-nucleotide ribosomal RNA is filed under the name uncultured bacterium. RNAcentral describes it as "partial 16S ribosomal RNA". It matches the Rfam family "Bacterial small subunit ribosomal RNA", at positions 29 to 507 of the family's 1533-position model. The record is from RNAcentral.